Molecule: transfer RNA, 73 nt
Filed under: Felis catus (domestic cat)
Lineage: Eukaryota; Metazoa; Chordata; Mammalia; Carnivora; Felidae
Also listed under: 3 other names
Rfam family: tRNA
About the family: Transfer RNA (tRNA) molecules are approximately 80 nucleotides in length. Their secondary structure includes four short double-helical elements and three loops (D, anti-codon, and T loops). Further hydrogen bonds mediate the characteristic L-shaped molecular structure. tRNAs have two regions of fundamental functional importance: the anti-codon, which is responsible for specific mRNA codon recognition, and the 3' end, to which the tRNAs corresponding amino acid is attached (by aminoacyl-tRNA synthetases). tRNAs cope with the degeneracy of the genetic code in two manners: having more than one tRNA (with a specific anti-codon) for a particular amino acid; and 'wobble' base-pairing, i.e. permitting non-standard base-pairing at the 3rd anti-codon position.
Source: Rfam by way of RNAcentral
GCCUGGCUGGCUCAGUCAGUAGAGCAUGCGACUCUUGAUCUCGGGUCUGUGAGUUCAAGCCUCACGUUGGGCA